AUGAUUGCGAAUGGUUACCUUUGGUGCUGGCUCUCGCGAGCAAGUGCACAUUGGUGGCUUUCAUCCACUACUACCCUUGUGAACCUUUGGCCUCUUGCUCGCUUCGGCUGGCAGAGGAUUUUUACACCCACACUCGAAUGUAAUGAAAAAACCCUUUGGUGCGCAAGCACUUAUGUA
Molecule: unclassified non-coding RNA, 177 nt
Filed under: uncultured Sebacinaceae
Lineage: Eukaryota; Fungi; Basidiomycota; Agaricomycetes; Sebacinales; Sebacinaceae
Description: sequence contains ITS1
Source: RNAcentral